This 446-nucleotide ribosomal RNA is filed under the name uncultured bacterium. Its description in RNAcentral is "bacterial SSU rRNA". It matches the Rfam family "Bacterial small subunit ribosomal RNA", at positions 330 to 793 of the family's 1533-position model. The record is from RNAcentral.
ACCAGACUCCUACGGGAGGCAGCAGUGGGGAAUAUUGCACAAUGGGCGAAAGCCUGAUGCAGCGACGCCGCGUGAGUGAAGAAGUAUUUCGGUAUGUAAAGCUCUAUCAGCAGGGAAGAAAAUGACGGUACCUGACUAAGAAGCCCCGGCUAACUACGUGCCAGCAGCCGCGGUAAUACGUAGGGGGCAAGCGUUAUCCGGAUUUACUGGGUGUAAAGGGAGUGUAGGUGGCAUAACAAGUCUGGAGUGAAAGCCCGGGGCCCAACCCCGGAACUGCUCUGGAAACUGUGCGGCUAGAGUACUGGAGGGGCAGGCGGAAUUCCUAGUGUAGCGGUGAAAUGCGUAGAUAUUAGGAGGAACACCAGUGGCGAAGGCGGCCUGCUGGACAGUAACUGACGUUGAGGCUCGAAAGCGUGGGGAGCAAACAGGAUUAGAUACCCCCGUAC